Molecule: ribosomal RNA, 1086 nt
Filed under: Triticum aestivum (bread wheat)
Lineage: Eukaryota; Viridiplantae; Streptophyta; Magnoliopsida; Poales; Poaceae
Description: partial small subunit ribosomal RNA
Source: RNAcentral
AUGUGGGUGCUGCUCCUCGCCUCCAAGGACGAGGCGGAGCAAGCCAUUGUCAAGCAGCAAGCGGCAGCAGAGGUCGAGUGCGGCCACAAGUUGCGCGUGCUGCGCACGGACCGUGGCGGCGAGUUCACAUCGGCGACGUUCUACAAGCACUGCGACGAGAAAGGGGUGCAACGUCACCUCACAACCCCUUACUCGCCGCAGCAGAACGACGUCGUCGAGCGGAUGAACCAGACUGUGCUUGGGAUGGCACGCUGUAUGCUCAAGGCAAAGCAGGUGCCGAUAACGUAUUGGGGGGAGGCCGUGCUCACGGCCGUCUUCAUCCUCAACCGCUCGUUCACAAGGAGCGUCGAUGGCAAGACGCCUUAUGAGGCGUGGUACGGAAGGAAGCCCGAUGUACGCUUCCUCCGCACCUUUGGCUGCGUCGGGCAUGUCAAGACGGCGCGCCCACAGCUGAAGAAGCUCGACGACAGGAGCACCCCGAUGGUGUUCAUGGGCUAUGGGACGGGCUCUAAGGCGUACAAGAUGUACGACCCCGUCUCAAAGCGUGUGCAUGUCUCGCGCGAUGUCAUCUUCGACGAAGACGCGCGAUGGACUUGGGAGGUGUCGGGGGAGGCCCCGGCAAGAAGCUCCUUCACUGUGGAGUACCCGAUGUACUCUACAACCCCGGGAAGCAAGACCCCGGGAAGCUCGGGAGGUGUGGAUCCGGGAACAGCAACCCCGAGAACACCGUCCCCGGGUAUGGUGUCGCCGGACACCACGACGUCAAGCAACGUGGGUCCCGGGAGGCAGUUUGCAACCCCGCCAACGGCGAGGUCGGAGUUGUUCGACGCCGACGACAGCGUUGGCGCCCCCCACAGGUUUUGGCGCAUGGGGGAUCUCCUCGGCGAGGCUGCAGCAACACCGCAACAGCCCGAGGAUGAGGACGUUGAUGACGACGAGGUCUUGCAUCUGAUGGCCGGCGAGGAGCCGACCACGUUCGCGGAGGCCGAGCAAGAGGAUUGCUGGCGCCACGCGAUGCUGGACGAGCUGGCGUCGAUCAAAGACAACGCCACUUGGACACUCACCACACUGCCUGCUGGGCACUGA